CUACAGCCAGAGGACAGGUACAUUAUUACUCCACACAGAACUACAGCCAGAGGACAGGUACAUUACUACUCCACACUGAACUACAGCCAGAGGACAGGUACUGUACAUUACUACUCCACACUGAACUCCAGCCAGAGGACAGGUACAUUACUACUCCACACUGAACUACAGAAAGAGGACAGGUACAUUACUACUCCACACUGAACUACAGCCAGAGGACAGGUACAUUACUACUCCACACUGAACUACAGAAAGAGGACAGGUACAUUACUACUCCACACUGAACUACAGCCAGAGGACAGGUACAUUAUUACUCCACACUGAACUACAGCCAGAGGACAGGUACUGUACAUUACUACUCCACACUGAACUCCAGCCAGAGGACAGGUACAUUACUACUCCACACUGAACUACAGCCAGAGGACAGGUACAUUACUACUCCACACUGAACUACAGCCAGAGGACAG
This is a long non-coding RNA of Oncorhynchus tshawytscha (Chinook salmon), 467 nucleotides long. NCBI's taxonomy places the organism in Eukaryota, Metazoa, Chordata, Actinopteri, Salmoniformes, Salmonidae. The record is from Ensembl.